CUUGAAGAGUUCAACCUGAAGAUGAAGCGGAAAUCGACGCAACAAACACCAACAUAAACUCAAAGGCAGUUUGUUAUCUUCACUUGGCAUCAUGAGCUCAUCUCCCACUAGAAUAGAACCUGCUGCUGACCCAUCCAGACCCUAUGGACAUUAGUUGGCUUACAUUGUUACCUAUCAUCCAUUUAUUGAUUUGUAAUGAUGCUAACAAAGGAUUUGUUAUCUUUGAGCCACAUCCUUUAAGGCAACAUAUUGAAGAAUCUUUUUCAUUGUAUAUUCAGAUUUGAUUUAUAUGUAUUAGCAUGGGUACGGUCAGGGGCUUUUCUUGAAAACGUGAUCUGACUUGCAAAAAUGAUUCCCUAUAUAGGCUUUUAGCUUUAAUUAGGGCCUGGAGAUUUUCCUAGGCUGGUCAUUUGGUCAGGAAAACCUCUUAACCCAUUUCUGUGGAUCCUCUUUCACUGUGUAUAUUUACAAAUAAAGAGUUAUUUUAUUUAUUUAUUUUUCUUAAAAAGUAACUUCAAAAUGGAAGUCAUGCUGAUGAUCUAAACUAUGCUCCACACUCCGUCCUGUUGGUGGCAGUAUUGGAAUUUGAAUCAUAACAGGGUGGGAAAAAAUCUUCAGAAGCAGGUACAGCAGAAAAAUAAAAUAGUCUUUGUCCUUGGCUAGCUAGGUCGUUGCUUUUGUACUAGCUAAUAUAUGCAUUUUUAUGCAAUUGCGUGGAACUUGUUUGACGCCUCAAAAUCUAAAAUGACAUGGCGAACAUAAUGAGAUGGUACCCUCUUUAAGGCCUAAGACGAGCGCGGGUGAGGUUGCAGACGAGUGAACCUGAAGAGUCAUCCCAGCUCAGACACGCUGGAAGAUAACAUGCCAAAUGGAACCAGAGAGUUACAGUCUGGUGCUGCCUCUGCUAUGAGCAACAUUAUGGAUCCAUCUGCCAGAGACUGGAGCAAAGGCUCAUUGAGGGGUAGCAGUGCUCCCUUCUCCCCAGACACAGAUGGGGACGUUGAUGGAGACCCUGUGCAGCCCAGUGUGGACCUGGAACUCGCUCGUAAGAAGAAGGAGCUGGAGGUCAUAGAGGAGAAGAUAGCUCGCAAGAAAGCUGUUCUUGCUACACGACAGCUUCAACACGGAGCUAAGAACAUGCCUAAAAAACAGACUGCAUCCACAACAGUGAAGGGCAUCGCUAAACAGACCAAGAUAAACAAUACAAUAUUCAAAACAUACAACCAGGUCACCGACAAGUCGUCACGCAUAUGCCUACCUCUUAAACGGAGGGUGCUGGACAUUCUACGUAAGUUCAGAAGAACACCGGUACGGCACCUACUUCGUAAGACGAAGAAACAAAACAAGAUGCGAGCAUUGGAGCUGAUGAUUAGCUCUCCCCUAGAAAAUGAAGAGGCCCAUCCUCUGAGACUGAGAGUGAAGGUUUUAAUGAACCAGCGACGCUCUCCCAACAAUGAGGUGGUUCCUGAUGAUAAACAGCAUGAUCCAACCAUUCAGAGGCCAGUUCACUCACUCAGGACACAGGAGAAAGACAUAGCAGCCACAGGCUUCCAGCGCUUCCUCAAUGUCCUCAAUGAAGGUGUGGACCUCAACAAGCUCUCAAAGAUAGUCAACGACGAAAAUGAGCUACUCAUUGUGGGCGAGGAGCUACCACAAGUUUCUCCGACUCUGCUCGAGGGUCAUGUUGACUCCAGCAGUAGAUCCAAUUCUUCUCCAGUUGAGGAGAAGAAGGUGAGGCUUGAGGAUGAGCAGCGGUACGAGCAGAUGCAGACCCUGCUGGAGAUCGUUGGGCUGGACUUGGGGGUUGAGGAGUUGGGUCGGCUGACAGACAGGACCAAUGAUAGGCUGUAUGGGAAGAUGGGAGACUUGAAAAGGAAGGAGUUCGAGAAUGAGAAGGGAAAAGAGAAAAAGGAGAGCGAGCCCUCAUUUAAACAUCUUAGUACUUCCUCAUUACCAUCAGACAGCGCCAGCCCCCUUCUAAACCAGCACUCAAACAUGACUGGUGAAUACAGCAGCUCUAGUAACAGGGUAUGGGACAUAGAGAGGGACAGAUCUGAGAGGGACUGGCACCGACACUCUGGUACCAGAGACAAGGACAGAGAGAGGGAGGAGGAUAUAGUCAGAGAAAUGGAGAGAUCUGAGAGAGAUGGGCACAGAGAGGACAGAGCCAGAGAAGGGGACAGUCCUACGAGAGAGAGAUCCAGGCAAAGAUGCUCUAGUACCAGAGACAAGGACAGAGUCAGAGAAAGAGACAGAUCUGAGAGAAACCGAAAGGGAGACGGGCACAGACACUCUAGUACCAGAGAGAGAGACAAGGACAUACCGGUAGUCAGAGAAACAAACAGAUCAGAAAGGAACAGAGAUGAAGACAGGGACAGAGACCCAAAGAAGGACUGGGACGGAGGCCAAGAGAGAGACCGGGACAGAUCUAGGAGAGACGGGGCCAGAUACAGAUCUGAGAGAGACGGGGACAGAGACCCAGAGAAAGGCAGGGACGGAAGCCGAGAGAAAGACCGGGACAGAGUGAGAGACCGGGACAAAUACAGAUCUGAGAGAGACAGAAACCGAGCGAUAGACAAGGAUAUAGAAAGGUGGCUGCAAAGGACCAAAGACGGAGACAAACGUUCUAGGACCAGUGACUGGGACAGCGAGAGCGACUGGAACAGCCACUGUAGUACUAGAGACUGGGACAGAGAGAGAUCUGAGAGGGAUAGGUAUGGGGAUGAGUCCAGGGAAAGCUCCAUUGAGCUCUACUCAUACUCCAUGGACCCUAUAUUCCCUGUUUCUCAUCCUCAUGCAUUUAUGAUGGCAAACUACUCCCCCACCCAGUACUCUCAGUAUAUGGCGUACCACAGCAGCCCCUACACCAUGGCCUUCCCUCCAGGGUGGGGUUAUCCCCCUGGCACCAUGCCCCCUGGUAUUAUGCCCCCUGGUAUUAUGCCCCCUGGUAUUAUGCCCCCUGGUAUUAUGCCCCCUGGGAUUAUGCCCCCUGGUAACAUGCCCCCUGGUAACAUGCCGCCUGGUAACAUGCCGCCUGGUAACAUGCCGCCUGGUAACAUGCCGCCUGGUAACAUGCCGCCUGGUACCAUGCUUCCUGGUGUUAUGCUCCCUGUUACCAUGCCACCUGGAAUCAUGCCAGCUGGUGCCAUGCUGCCUAUUAACAAGCCCCGCCUACCUAAUCCCCCUGGGUAUCCACCCUACACCAACUUCCCCCCAUAUUACUCUAAUGGCACCACAGCCUUAAACCAGACAUACACCAAGCCUGCUAGCAACCUCCAGCUCUCAUCUACCCAGCCUGCUAGCAACCUCCAGCUCUCAUCUACCCAGCCUGCUAGCAACCUCCAGCUCUCAUCUACCCAACCUACUAGCAACCUCCAGCUCACAUCUACCCAGCCUGCUACUAGCAACCUCCAGCUCACAUCUACCCAGCCUGCCAGCACUGCAGCAGUCUUGCCCCUCCAACGUAACCCUCCCAUUUGUCACAAGAAACUAGCUCCCUGGUAUAAAGAAAAUAACAAAGCCCUGAAGCAAGUUUGCCGACAAAUGGAACGGAAAUGGCGCUCCACCAAUUUGGAAGUCUUCCGACUAGCUUGGAAAGACAGUAAAGCGCAAUAUCGAAAAGCCCUCAAUGCCGCUCGAUUAGCCUACUUUUCCAAACAGGAGGAGAAUAAAAACGAUCCAAAAUGUAUUUUUGAUACUGUUGACAAGCUAACUAAAAAGCAGCAUUCUCCUAGUGAGGAUGGCCUUCACUUCACCUAAGCAGUUACAUCCUGCCUGGUUGGCCCUGUCUGGGGGUAUCUUCGGACUGGGCCACAUUGUCUAAGCACUGGGUUCUGUCUAAGCCCUUUGUGACAUUUACUGAUGAAAAAGGGCUUUAUAAAUAAAUAAAUGUGAUUGGUUGGUCUUAACUCAGAGAUACACAUACACCCAGCCCUCUAGCAACUGCAAGGAAAAGAGACAGAAGCAUGCAGAAGCCGUAGCGAAAGUGAAAAGAAUAAACAUGGAAGAGACAGAAAUAUGCAGAAGAUGUAGUGAAAGUAUCCUGUCAGAUGGUGACAAAGACGUCCCCCUCUGAACCAGGGUGAAUGAAGAAAGCAAAGGGGGUAAACAAUAGAUUCUUCACAGGUAUUUUCAUGAAGAGUUAUCAUAAUCAUCAAAGGAAGCAUAUGUGUAAGAGGAAACGGCUUUUGAAGAGGCGGAAUGAGGCUCACCAGCACAAAAUAAAGUGAUUGCUUGCAGAAGCAGCAGGGAAAGUGGCUCCUCGGGUGUCUGUAAAGGAUUUCCCCUUUGGAGAUGAGCCCAAGAUCCAGAAGGAGUAACAAUGAUCGAUGGGGAGAAACUACAUGCUGACACUGUAGAAGAAGUGGUCCCUAAAAGAAGCUAGAUUUGUAAUGACACUAGCAAAGGAUUUGUUAUAGUUUAACCUCAUCCUUCAAAGCUUCAUGUUGAAGCUAUUUCCAGUGUAAUGUUUUGUAUUGUAUGUGGUAUGGGUAUGGCCAGUGGUCUUUCUUGACUAUUAUAUCUGCUCAGCAAACGCAUUUUCUCUCCCGUUAUAAACCAAAUCAUAAGGGCGUGGAGUUUACUUGAUCUGGUCAUGUGGUUAGGAAAGACCCCUGGCCCUGGGCAUAGUACAUGUGUGUCAAUACAAUGAAAAGACCAUUGAUGACAUGCUUGCAAGUUCUCAUGCCUGAUAGCAAGAAAACUGCCCGUGUUUCAUUCCCCCACUUCAGUCUAUAGAUCAUCUUUUACUUUGUAUAUAUUUAAUUGAAUAAAAGAUUCUGUCUAAUAUUGUAAGUGUGGAGUAUGUCAAAGUAAUUUAACCAAGGCAUUAAGCUUCACAUUUCUUUUCAGGAAUAACUUAAAUUGGUUUGGAAUUAGAAAAUGCCAUGCUCUUCGCACUCCGUUCUAUUGGUGGCAGUAUAGAUCCUAUGAAGCAGAAAUCAUAGACGAUGUAGACAGGAAACGAGUUUGUUGGUUGACCAGUUGCCUUUAUAACAAAUUUAACCUAAUCUAUACCAUUUAUAUGAAAGUCAAAGCACUCCGAUUUUUAAGAGAGACUGGUAUGCUAGUUGUUUGACACCACAAGAUCCAGAAUGAGACAGUGAACACAAAGACCUGCGCGAGGGUAGCAUCGAGGUAAACAACCAUUAGCUAUAGUCAAUGUUUGCAACCACUUAUUGUGGAAAAUGUGCAAUGUGGCAAUUUCAUGAAUUUGUCGAUAUUCUCACAUGCUUGCAUUUACAGACGUUAGCUAGCAAGGUAUAUGCCAGCCUGCUCUGAAAGUUAAAUUACAAACUAGCUAGGUAGUUAACAUUUGCUAACGUUAGCUGGCGAACGCUUGCACAUUUCAGCUGACAUUCAGAACAAUAACGUACAAGCAAGCGAAGUUAUUAUAGAAGACAAAUGCAACUACAUACAGUUGAAGUCGGAAGUUAACAUUCGCCUUAGCCAAAUACAUUUAAACUGUGUUUUUCUCAAUUCCUGACAUUUAAGCCUCAUUUAAAAAAAAUCCCAGUUUUAGGCCAGUUAGGAUCACCACUAUUUUAAGAAUGUGAAAUGUCAGAAUAAUAGUAGCGAGAAUGAUUUAUUUCAGCUUUUAUUUAUUUCAUCACAUUCCCAGUGGGUCAGAAGUUUACAUAUUACAAUUAGCAUUUGGUAGCAUUGCCUUUAAAUUGUUUAACUUGGGUCAAAUGUUUCAGGUAGCCUUCCACAAGCUUCCCCCAAUAAGUUGGGUGAAUUUUAGCCCAUUCCUCUUGACAGCGCUGGUGUAACUGAGUCAGGUUUGUAAGCCUCCUUGCUCGUACACGCUUUUUCAGUUCUGCCCACAAAUGGUCUAUAGGACUGAGAUCAGAGCUUUGUGAUGGCCACUCCAAUACCUUGACUUUGUUGUCCUUAAGCUAUUUUGCCACAACUUUGGAAGUAUGCUUGGGGUCAUUGUCCAUUUGGAAAACCUAUUUGCGACCAAGCUUUAACUUCCUGACUGAUGUCUGGAGAUGGUGCUUCAAUAUAUCCACAUCAUUUUCUUCCUCGUGAUGCAAUCUACUUUGUGAAGUGUACCACGCCCUCUUGCAGCAAAGCAACCUCACAACAUGAUGCUGCCACCCCCGUGCUUCACAGUUGGGAUGAUGUUCUUUGGCUUGCAAGCCUCCCCCUUUUUCCUCCAAACAGAAUGAUGGUGAUUAUGGCCAAACAGUUCUAUUUUUGUUUCAUCAGACCAGAGGACAUUUCUCCAAAAAGUACUUUCUUUGUCCCCAUGUGCAGUUGCAAACCGUAGUCUGGCGGUUUUGUAGCAGUGGCUUCUUCCUUGCUGAGCGGCCUUUCAGGUUAUGUCGAUAUAGGACUUGUUUUACUGUGGAUAUAGAUACUUUUGUACCUGUUUUCUCCAGCACCUUCACACGGUCCUUUGCUGCUGUUCUGGGAUUGAUUUGCACUUUUCGCACCAAAGUACGUUCAUCUCUAGGAGACAGGACGUGUCUCAUUCCUGAGCAGUAUGACGGCUGCGUGGUCCCUUGGUGUUUAUACUUGCGUACUAUUGUUUGUACAGAUGAACAUGGUGCUUUCAGGCGUUUGGAAAUUGCUCCCAAGGAUGAACCAGACUUGUGGAGGCCUACAAUUUUCUUUUCUGAGGUCUUGGCUGAUUUCUUUUGAUUUUCCCAUGAUGUCAAGCAAAGAGGCACUGAGUUUGAAGGUAGGCCUUGAAAUACAUCCACAGGUACACCUCUAAUUGACUCAAAUGAUGUCAAUUACCCUAUCAGAAGCUUCUAAAGCCAUUACAUCAUUUUCUGGAAUUUUCCAAGCUUUUUAAAGGCACAGUCAAUUUAGUGUAUGUAAACUUCUGACCCACUGGAAUUGUGAUACAGUGAAAUAAUCUGUCUGUAAACAAUUGUUGGAAAAAUUACUUGUCAUGCACAAAGUCGAUGUCCUAACAGACGUGCCAAAACUAUAGUUUAUUAACAAGAAAUUUGUGGAGUGGAUAAAAAACGAGUUUUAUGACUCCAACCUAAGUGUAAGUAAAUUUCCGACUUCAACUGUAUAUAUUGGAAUGUAACUUGUUUGUUUAGAAGCUUGUUAAUUCGUUUGAGUCCUUAGUGAUGUCUUGCCUUAAACGUGCAUUUAUGGGCAAAUAACAUCUAAUACAUCCAUAAUCAACAGCAAACAUGUUUAUAUUCAUCACAUACUUAACGUUAGUGUUUAUAUAGUUGUCACCCAGACACACAGUACAGUUCACCACCUCUUUAUUCUCUGCAGUGAACCUGGAGUAUCAGCCC
This 7268-nucleotide long non-coding RNA is filed under the name Oncorhynchus kisutch (coho salmon). RNAcentral's name for it is "lncRNA (ENSOKIG00005002978.1)". Lineage: Eukaryota; Metazoa; Chordata; Actinopteri; Salmoniformes; Salmonidae. The record is from RNAcentral.